This 403-nucleotide ribosomal RNA is filed under the name uncultured bacterium. Its description in RNAcentral is "partial 16S ribosomal RNA". It matches the Rfam family "Bacterial small subunit ribosomal RNA", at positions 28 to 526 of the family's 1533-position model. The record is from RNAcentral.
GACGAACGCUGGCGGCGUGCCUAAUACAUGCAAGUCGAACGCUGUGGGGACGGGUGAGUAACACGUGGGUCACCUCCCAUCAGAGGGGAUAACACUUGGAAACUGGUGCUAAACCGAUCUUGAUGGAUGUACCCGCGGUGCAUUAGUUAGUUGGUGAGGUAACGGCCAACCAAGGCCACGAUGCAUAGCCGACCGGGGAGGGGGAUCGGCCACACUGGAACUGUGAAACGGCCCGAACUCCUACGGAAGGAGGAAGAAGGGAAUCUUGGGCAAUGGGCGAAAGUCUGACCGGGAAAGGCGGCGUAAGGGAAGAAGGUUUUCGGAUCGUAAGACUCGGUUGUUAGAGAGGCGGUAUCUAACCAGAAAGCCACGGCUAACUACGUGCCAGCAGCCGCGGUAAUAC